GACGAACGCUGGCGGCGUGCUUAACACAUGCAAGUCGAACGGAAAGGCCCUGCUUUUGUGGGGUGCUCGAGUGGCGAACGGGUGAGUAACACGUGAGUAACCUGCCCUUGACUUUGGGAUAACUUCAGGAAACUGGGGCUAAUACCGGAUAGGAGCUCCUGCUGCAUGGUGGGGGUUGGAAAGUUUCGGCGGUUGGGGAUGGACUCGCGGCUUAUCAGCUUGUUGGUGGGGUAGUGGCUUACCAAGGCUUUGACGGGUAGCCGGCCUGAGAGGGUGACCGGCCAAAUUGGGACUGAGAUACGGCACAGACUCCUACGGGAGGCAGCAGUGGGGAAUAUUGCACAAUGGGCGGAAGCCUGAUGCAGCAACGCCGCGUGCGGGAUGACGGCCUUCGGGUUGUAAACCGCUUUCGCCUGUGACGAAGCGUGAGUGACGGUAAUGGGUAAAGAAGCACCGGCUAACUACGUG
Molecule: ribosomal RNA, 468 nt
Filed under: uncultured bacterium
Lineage: Bacteria
Description: partial 16S ribosomal RNA
Rfam family: Bacterial small subunit ribosomal RNA
Source: RNAcentral